RNAcentral lists this ribosomal RNA (350 nucleotides) under Auchenomus forcipatus. RNAcentral describes it as "eukaryotic LSU rRNA". It matches the Rfam family "Eukaryotic large subunit ribosomal RNA", at positions 666 to 976 of the family's 3401-position model. Lineage: Eukaryota; Metazoa; Arthropoda; Insecta; Dermaptera; Spongiphoridae. The record is from RNAcentral.
CCAAGGAGUCUAACAUGUGCGCAAGUCAUUGGGUGUAUAAAACCUAAAGGCGUAAUGAAAGUAAAGAAUUGUUUUACACAAUUUGUGGGAUGAUGAAUUAUCUUGAAGCAAUGAUGGAUAGUUUCGCAAUCCCGGGGCGUCUCAUUCUCAUUGCGAGAAGAGGCGCACCUUGAGCGUAUACGUUGGGACCCGAAAGAUGGUGAACUAUGCCUGGCGAGGACAAAGUCAGGGGAAACCCUGAUGGAGGUCCGUAGCGAUUCUGACGUGCAAAUCGAUCGUCGGAGCUGGGUAUAGGGGCGAAAGACUAAUCGAACCAUCUAGUAGCUGGUUCCCUCCGAAGUUUCCCUCAG